RNAcentral lists this ribosomal RNA (251 nucleotides) under uncultured prokaryote. Its description in RNAcentral is "partial 16S rRNA". It matches the Rfam family "Bacterial small subunit ribosomal RNA", at positions 525 to 775 of the family's 1533-position model. The record is from RNAcentral.
ACAGAGGGGGCAAGCGUUAUUCGGAAUUAUUGGGCGUAAAGGGAGCGUAGGCGGUGUCUUAAGUGCGACGAGAAAUCUCCGCGCUUACCUUGGGAACUGCAUCUCAGACUGGGACACUAGAGUACUGGAGGGGGGGGUAGAAUUCCACGUAUAGCGGUGAAAAGCAAAAAAGUGUGAAUGAAGGCGAGAAGCGAAGGCGUGCACCAUGACUAAAACUGACACGAGGGCGCGAAACGGGCGGGGGCAGGCAG